GCAUAUGACUUUUUGUUUUGAUUUGGUGGUCACUUGUUUGUACAAGCGUGGGGGACCUAUCAUCGCCGUGCAGGUGGAGAAUGAAUAUGGUUCCUAUAAUAAAGACCCCGCAUACAUGCCCUACGUCAAGAAGGCACUGGAGGACCGUGGCAUUGUGGAACUGCUCCUGACUUCAGACAACAAGGAUGGGCUGAGCAAGGGGAUUGUCCAGGGAGUGUUGGCCACCAUCAACUUGCAGUCAACACACGAGCUGCAGCUACUGACCACCUUUCUCUUCAAUGUCCAGGGGACUCAGCCCAAGAUGGUGAUGGAGUACUGGACGGGGUGGUUUGACUCGUGGGGAGGCCCUCACAAUAUCUUGGAUUCUUCUGAGGUUUUGAAAACCGUGUCUGCCAUUGUGGAUGCCGGCUCCUCCAUCAACCUCUACAUGUUCCACGGAGGCACCAACUUUGGCUUCAUGAAUGGAGCCAUGCACUUCCAUGACUACAAGUCAGAUGUCACCAGCUAUGACUACGACGCUGUGCUGACAGAAGCCGGCGAUUACACGGCCAAGUACAUGAAGCUUCGAGACUUCUUCGGCUC
This 582-nucleotide small RNA is filed under the name Pan troglodytes (chimpanzee). RNAcentral's name for it is "processed transcript". Lineage: Eukaryota; Metazoa; Chordata; Mammalia; Primates; Hominidae. The record is from RNAcentral.